AUUACCAACGUAUUUACUGCAGGUAAACUGAUUAACUGUGUACCUGUUGUUGUUGAAAACAUUAAAAAUACUCUUAUUCCAUGCUAAGCGCUUGCGGUAUAUGUCUCUUUUUGCUCCUCUCCACCAUAUAUUGACCAUUAUCGAGAAGCUUAAAAGGACCGUCAUCUUUUUUUUCCUCUCUCAUAGAACAGAGGACGAUUUUAAUCGCGAAAACGAGUUUGAAAUGAAGAAAAUAUUCAGCGAAUAAAUAUAUCUAUUGUAGUUAUCGAAUCUGCGAAGCGAUAAUAUUCAUUUGUUGGCGAAUAAGUUUGGACCAAUUUUCUUUUUGUUUUUGCUUGUUUCCCCUCCCCCCUCCUUUUUUUCUUUCCUUCCUUUUAUCAACGUAAACGCGCGAGUGUCAAUAUUUGUAAAUAUCGUAAGAACGUCAGUAUUUGAAGGAGUAACUGAUAAUUACCCAAUAUUUGUGUCCUUUGACUUACACAAAGAGAGAGUAAACAAACAUAUACAUAUCCCCUUAUAUACAUAUGUACACAUACAUUCCUGCUAAGCUACGACAUUGAAACCAGUAAUUAUUAACCGAGCAUGAAGACACGUAAUAAUGAAGUGCGUUUUAACGAGGAAAUCACAAUCAGUUGAAAGUGUAUCGAAUCGAAAUAAUUAUUUUCCUCUUUGGCCGAAAAAAACGCAAACAAAAAUUCCCUUAUCGUUUAUUCAUUACACAAAAUUCUCGAGAUAUAUGAAUAUUUGAGAGAUUUAGAUUCGAUGUACUUUCGAGUAAUAUGUAGAACGAUGAAUAGAUGAGACGAUCGAAAAGUAGAUUAUUCGCUUAUUCGUACCAAGUCGGAAAGUAAUUAGGAAAAUUGAGAGUCGUUCCAGUGCGAUCGGACGAGGAAUACAUUUUCGACGUUUCUUACCAGAGGGAAGUCAUCUUGAAAAUGAGAAGAAGAGGGAGGACCAAAAAAGAGAUCGAAAGCAUGCUUUGAUUACUUACGAAUCGAAAUAUUGAUUAAUUCAUUAUUAUACCAAUGACAUCGCUAUACUUUUUCUUCUACUGUGAUUAUCAUUUACUAUUAUCUUUAUUAUCAUUAUUACUAUUAUUACUAUUAUUAUUACUAUUAUUAUUACUA
Molecule: long non-coding RNA, 1127 nt
Organism: Vespa mandarinia (Asian giant hornet)
Lineage: Eukaryota; Metazoa; Arthropoda; Insecta; Hymenoptera; Vespidae
Gene: msi
Source: RefSeq, a predicted model, not a curated record